Molecule: ribosomal RNA, 756 nt
Filed under: Diversispora celata
Lineage: Eukaryota; Fungi; Glomeromycota; Glomeromycetes; Diversisporales; Diversisporaceae
Description: eukaryotic LSU rRNA
Rfam family: Eukaryotic large subunit ribosomal RNA
Source: RNAcentral
GCAUAUCAAUAAGCGGAGGAAAAGAAACUAACAAGGAUUCCCCUAGUAAUGGCGAAUGAAGAGGGAAAAGCUCAAAUUUUAAAUCUACCUGGUUCCCAGGUCGAGUUGUAAUUUGAAGAAACGAUAUCGGUGUGGAGGUCUGGUUCAAGUUCUUUGGAACAAGACAUCAUGGAGGGUGAGAAUCCCGUGCAUGAUCAGACCAAGAUACUUAAUAUUCGCUUUCUAAGAGUCGAGUUGUUUGGGAAUGCAGCUCAAAUUGGGUGGUAGACUUCACCUAAGGCUAAAUAUCAGCGAGAGACCGAUAGCGAACAAGUACUGUGAAGGAAAGAUGAAAAGAACUUUGAAAAGAGAGUUAAAUAGUACGUGAAAUUGUUGAAAGGGAAACGAUUGAAGUCAGUCAUGCUAGUGAAAAUUCAGUUUGGUGGGUUUUGGGUUCAGGAGUUGAGGCAGGGUCAAACCGUUUCUCUUUUGAACUUGGAAUUUGUCAGAUGCACUUUUUCUUUGGCGGGUCAGCGUCGAUUUCGGAGGUUGUAAAAUACUUGGGGAAAAGUAGCUCUGCUUCGGGAGAGUGUUAUAGACCUUGGGUGAUGCGGCCUGCGGGAUCGAGGAUUGCAGCAAAUGCUUUUGGCUUGUCGCCUGAUCUCUGGACGUCAUCUCGCUUGUAUCGACAUUCUUGGUACCGGUGAGUAAUGGUGCUCAUAGGUUAGAGCGAUCAAAAAUUUUGCUAAGGAUGCUGACGUAAUGGCUUUAAACGAC